GACGAACGCUGGCGGCGCGCCUAACACAUGCAAGUCGAGCGAUGAAAUUUUAACCGAUCUCUUCGGAGAGAAGAGAAAGUGGAUUAGCGGCGGACGGGUGAGUAACACGUGAGAAACCUGCCUUUCACAAGGGGAUAGCCUCGGGAAACCGGGAUUAAUACACUAUGACACAUUUCUUUCGCAUGGAAGAAAUGUUAAAACUCCGAUGGUGAAAGAUGGUCUCGCGCCUGAUUAGCUAGUUGGUGGGGUACCGGCCCACCAAGGCCAGGACGAGUAACCGGCCUGAGAGGCUGAACCGUCACACUUGAACGGGGACACGGUCCAAACUCCUACGCGAGGCAGCAGUGGGGGAUAUUGCACAACGGAGUGAACUCUGAUGCAGCGACGCCGCGUGAGCGCUGAAGGCUUUCGAGUCGUAAAGCGCUGUCCUAUGGGAAGAUAAUGACGGUACCAUAGGAGGAAGCCCCGGCUAACUACGUG
RNAcentral lists this ribosomal RNA (480 nucleotides) under uncultured bacterium. Its description in RNAcentral is "partial 16S ribosomal RNA". It matches the Rfam family "Bacterial small subunit ribosomal RNA", at positions 28 to 507 of the family's 1533-position model. The record is from RNAcentral.